Molecule: ribosomal RNA, 1115 nt
Filed under: Labeo stolizkae
Lineage: Eukaryota; Metazoa; Chordata; Actinopteri; Cypriniformes; Cyprinidae
Description: partial 16S ribosomal RNA
Rfam family: Bacterial large subunit ribosomal RNA (bases 183-1096)
Source: RNAcentral
CAGCUAGCUUACCCACCAAAAUUAACCAAACAAUAUAAAUAAAAUAAAAUGGACAAAACACCAAAAACUAAACCAUUCUUUUACCUGAGUAUGGGAGACAGAAAAGGUUCAACCAAAGCAAUAGAAACAGUACCGCAAGGGAAAGCUGAAAGAGAAAUGAAACAACCCAUAUAAGCACAAAAAAGCAAAGAUUAAACCUUGUACCUUUUGCAUCAUGAUUUAGCCAGUAAACCCAAGCAAAGAGACCUUUAGUUUGAAACCCCGAAACCAGGUGAGCUACCCCGAGACAGCCUAUUAAGGGCCAACCCGUCUCUGUGGCAAAAGAGUGGGAAGAGCUCCGGGUAGAAGUGACAGACCUACCGAACCUGGUGAUAGCUGGUUGCCUAAGAAACGAAUAGAAGUUCAGCCUCGUACGCCUCAAAUCAAAAACACAUAAACAAGACACCAAGAGAAACACACGAGAGUUAGUUAAAGGGGGUACAGCCCCUUUAACAAAGGAUACAACCUUAUCAGGAGGAUAAAGAUCAUAAUAUAUAAAACAUACUGUUCUAGUGGGCCUAAAAGCAGCCAUCUAAACAGAAAGCGUUAAAGCUCAGACAGAAAAAAGUUUAUUAUUCUGAUAAACAAUCUUACUCCCCUAAAUUCUAUUAGGCUAAUCCAUGCCCCCAUGGAAGAAAUUAUGCUAAAAUGAGUAACAAGAAGGCCCGCCCUUCUCCCCAGCACAAGUGUAAGCCAAACCGGACAAACCAUUGGCAAUUAACGAACUCAACCCAAGAGAGCAAUGUGAAUCAUAAAAAAACCAAGAAAACCACACAACCAACUAAUCGUUACCCCCACACUGGAGUGCUACUUUAAAGGAAAGACUAAAAGAAAAGGAAGGAACUCGGCAAACACAAGCCUCGCCUGUUUACCAAAAACAUCGCCUCCUGCAACACAACUAUGUAUAGGAGGUCCAGCCUGCCCAGUGACUACAAGUUCAACGGCCGCGGUAUUUUGACCGUGCAAAGGUAGCGCAAUCACUUGUCUUUUAAAUAGAGACCUGUAUGAAUGGCUAAACGAGGGCUUAACUGUCUCCCCUUUCCAGUCAGUGAAAUUGAUCUGCCCGUGCAGAAGCG